GGAUUAGAUACCCUAUUAUUAAGAAUAAAAAAUUGUAAGUAAAUAUUAAUUACGAAAGCAAAAAAUUAUGGCGGUAUUUUAAGCUUUUCAGAGGAAUUUGCUCUUUAAUGGAUAAAACACCUAAACCUUACUUAAAUUAGUACCUUUCAGUUUGUAUACCACUAUUAUAAUAAUAAUUUGUUAUUAUUAUUAAUAUUCUUAAAUUAGAAUAAAAUUAAGUCAAGGUGCAGCAUAAAUUUAUGAAUGAAGUGAAUUACAUUUCUUUAAAGAAAAAUGAAAUUGAAAUAAAACAUUUAGGAUUUGAUAGUAAAGUUAAAAUAUUAUGUUAAUUUGAAUAAAGCUCUAAAAUAUGUACAUAUCGCCCGUCACUCUUUUAUAAGAUAAGUCG
RNAcentral lists this ribosomal RNA (388 nucleotides) under Hyalomma rufipes. Its description in RNAcentral is "partial small subunit ribosomal RNA". The record is from RNAcentral. Lineage: Eukaryota; Metazoa; Arthropoda; Arachnida; Ixodida; Ixodidae.